This 493-nucleotide ribosomal RNA is filed under the name uncultured bacterium. RNAcentral's name for it is "partial 16S ribosomal RNA". It matches the Rfam family "Bacterial small subunit ribosomal RNA", at positions 30 to 507 of the family's 1533-position model. The record is from RNAcentral.
CGACCGCUGGCGGCGUGCCUAAUACAUGCAAGUAGACCGCUGAAGGAGGAGCUUGCUUCUCUGGAUGAGUUGCGAACGGGUGGGUAACGCGUAGGUAACCUGCCUGGUAGCGGGGGAUAACUAUUGGAAACGAUAGCUAAUACCGCAUAAGAGUAGAUGUUGCAUGACAUUUGCUUAAAAGGUGCAAUUGCAUCACUACCAGAUGGACCUGCGUUGUAUUAGCUAGUUGGUGGGGUAACGGCUCACCAAGGCGACGAUACAUAGCCGACCUGAGAGGGUGAUCGGCCACACUGGGACUGAGACACGGCCCAGACUCCUACGGGAGGCAGCAGUAGGGAACCUUCGGCAAUGGACGGAAGUCUGACCGAGCAACGCCGCGUGAGUGAAGAAGGUUUUCGGAUCGUAAAGCUCUGUUGUAAGAGAAGAACGAGUGUGAGAGUGGAAAGUUCACACUGUGACGGUAUCUUACCAGAAAGGGACGGCUAACUACGUG